This 253-nucleotide ribosomal RNA is filed under the name uncultured bacterium. RNAcentral's name for it is "partial 16S ribosomal RNA". It matches the Rfam family "Bacterial small subunit ribosomal RNA", at positions 524 to 776 of the family's 1533-position model. The record is from RNAcentral.
UACGAAGGGGGCGAGCGUUGUUCGGAAUUACUGGGCGUAAAGCGCACGUAGGCGGAUUUGUAAGUCAGGGGUGAAAUCCCGGGGCUCAACCUCGGAACUGCCUUUGAUACUGCAAAUCUCGAGUCCGGAAGAGGUGAGUGGAAUUCCUAGUGUAGAGGUGAAAUUCGUAGAUAUUAGGAAGAACACCAGUGGCGAAGGCGGCUCACUGGUCCGGUACUGACGCUGAGGUGCGAAAGCGUGGGGAGCAAACAGG